This 325-nucleotide ribosomal RNA is filed under the name Enterobacter hormaechei subsp. xiangfangensis. RNAcentral's name for it is "partial 23S ribosomal RNA". It matches the Rfam family "Bacterial large subunit ribosomal RNA", at positions 1135 to 1838 of the family's 2925-position model. The record is from RNAcentral. Lineage: Bacteria; Pseudomonadati; Pseudomonadota; Gammaproteobacteria; Enterobacterales; Enterobacteriaceae.
UAAUAGCUCACUGGUCGAGUCGGCCUGCGCGGAAGAUGUAACGGGGCUAAACCAUGCACCGAAGCUGCGGCAGCGACACUAUGUGUUGUUGGGUAGGGGAGCGUUCUGUAAGCCGUUGAAGGUGUGCUGUGAGGCAUGCUGGAGGUAUCAGAAGUGCGAAUUGAGAGAACUCGGGUGAAGGAACUAGGCAAAAUGGUGCCGUAACUUCGGGAGAAGGCACGCUGAUAUGUAGGUGAAGUCCCUGCGGACGGAGCUGAAAUCAGUCGAAGAUACCAGCUGGCUGCAACUGUUUAUUAAAAACACAGCACUGUGCAAACACGAAAGU